Molecule: long non-coding RNA, 865 nt
Organism: Homo sapiens (human)
Lineage: Eukaryota; Metazoa; Chordata; Mammalia; Primates; Hominidae
Source: Ensembl
UGUGCAGAAAAUCCACAGAACUCGUGAGCAACUCCUUAGUGGAUUGGGCUGAAAGAAAAUCAAACCCGUGAAAGCCCUGAAUUGAUGUGGUUAUGAAAGCGCAUUGGCCAAGCUGGCUUUCCUUCCUCUGACCCCCAUCUAACUAUGGUGAACGCCCUCGUUCCCACAGGUCUAAGAAAGUCAAGGACUUGAUAUUUACCAUUCAUUGGCUCUACACAAAUGGGGAUCUGCACUCAGAAGCCACAGAAAAAGAAGAAAAUGCAGUUCACCACCUCCCAGCAGUCCUGGUGGUGUAGGAGGAUGCGCCGAGGCCAAUCUUUGAUGGCUGCUGGUUACUUCCUCAUGAGCAGUGUUAGGCUGGGGACAGCAGGCCGGAAAGGAGUGCUUGGAGAGUGUCUUGACCUUCACAGAUGUCUUGCAAAAGGAAGUCAGUAUAUUGCGUAUCUCUGAAGAUGAGAAUUUUGGUGAAGUUUCUGAAAGGUCACAGAGCUUCCGAAUGCCCAACAGUUUGUCCAGUAUUACACACUCUUCUGCCUCUCUUGCUUGUAUCCCCUUUCUUCUCUCUAACCCCUGCAGUUUGCUCCUCCCCCCAUAUUGCUUCUCUUUCUUUCUCUCCUUUUUAGUGAUCGAAUGGCACACAUCUGUGAAUAGACAGCCACAUCUCUGCUGCCAGAAUACAGCUGCUGAGGUGUUUGGGGCUUACUUGGAGAAAUGAGGACAUUGAUCUGGGUGAAUGGUAGUAGCUGUACACAUACAAAGUACUGUUCACUUCUUUGCUAAGGUUUUAUGUACACUCUGAGGAUAUCAGAGAAUUCGGAGAAAAUCCAUGGCACAGAUUGGAUGCAUAAUACAUGUACGUACUUGA